GUACUCGCCCAGGCAGUAUUGUAUUAUACAAUUCGAACGAUAAAGAGACGAUUAGCAUGGCUUCUGUGCAAGAAUGACCAGCAAAAUGACAAAGCGUUCUGGGUUUUA
Small nuclear RNA from Pararge aegeria (speckled wood butterfly), 108 nucleotides. The record is from RefSeq and is a predicted model, not a curated record. NCBI's taxonomy places the organism in Eukaryota, Metazoa, Arthropoda, Insecta, Lepidoptera, Nymphalidae.